GAGUCUUAAUUGGGCGUUAAGUUGCAGGGUAUAGACCCGAAACCCGGUGAUCUAGCCAUGGGCAGGUUGAAGGUUGGGUAACACUAACUGGAGGACCGAACCGACUAAUGUUGAAAAAUUAGCGGAUGACCUGUGGCUGGGGGUGAAAGGCCAAUCAAACCGGGAGAUAGCUGGUUCUCCCCGAAAGCUAUUUAGGUAGCGCCUCGUGAAUUCAUCUCCGGGGGUAGAGCACUGUUUCGGCUAGGGGGCCAUCCCGGCUUACCAACCCGAUGCAAACUGCGAAUACCGGAGAAUGUUAUCACGGGAGACACACGGCGGGUGCUAACGUCCGUCGUGAAGAGGGAAACAACCCAGACCGCCAGCUAAGGUCCCAAAGUCAUGGUUAAGUGGGAAACGAUGUGGGAAGGCCCAGACAGCCAGGAUGUUGGCUUAGAAGCAGCCAUCAUUUAAAGAAAGCGUAAUAGCUCACUGGUCGAGUCGGCCUGCGCGGAAGAUGUAACGGGGCUAAACCAUGCACCGAAGCUGCGGCAGCGACACUGUGUGUUGUUGGGUAGGGGAGCGUUCUGUAAGCCUGCGAAGGUGGCCUGUGAGGGUUGCUGGAGGUAUCAGAAGUGCGAAUGCUGACAUAAGUAACGAUAAAGCGGGUGAAAAGCCCGCUCGCCGGAAGACCAAGGGUUCCUGUCCAACGUUAAUCGGGGCAGGGUGAGUCGACCCCUAAGGCGAGGCCGAAAGGCGUAGUCGAUGGGAAACGGGUUAAUAUUCCCGUACUUGGUGUUACUGCGAAGGGGGGACGGAGAAGGCUAUGUUGGCCGGGCGACGGUUGUCCCGGUUUAAGCGUGUAGGUGUGUGUUCCAGGUAAAUCCGGUUCACUUUAACACUGAGGCGUGACGACGAGGCACUACGGUGCUGAAGCAACAAAUGCCCUGCUUCCAGGAAAAGCCUCUAAGCAUCAGGUAACAUCAAAUCGUACCCCAAACCGACACAGGUGGUCAGGUAGAGAAUACCAAGGCGCUUGAGAGAACUCGGGUGAAGGAACUAGGCAAAAUGGUGCCGUAACUUCGGGAGAAGGCACGCUGACACGUAGGUGAAGUGAUUUACUCAUGGAGCUGAAGUCAGUCGAAGAUACCAGCUGGCUGCAACUGUUUAUUAAAAACACAGCACUGUGCAAACACGAAAGUGGACGUAUACGGUGUGACGCCUGCCCGGUGCCGGAAGGUUAAUUGAUGGGGUCAGCGCAAGCGAAGCUCCUGAUCGAAGCCCCGGUAAACGGCGGCCGUAACUAUAACGGUCCUAAGGUAGCGAAAUUCCUUGUCGGGUAAGUUCCGACCUGCACGAAUGGCGUAAUGAUGGCCAGGCUGUCUCCACCCGAGACUCAGUGAAAUUGAACUCGCUGUGAAGAUGCAGUGUACCCGCGGCAAGACGGAAAGACCCCGUGAACCUUUACUAUAGCUUGACACUGAACAUUGAGCCUUGAUGUGUAGGAUAGGUGGGAGGCUUUGAAGUGUGGACGCCAGUCUGCAUGGAGCCGACCUUGAAAUACCACCCUUUAAUGUUUGAUGUUCUAACGUGGACCCGUUACCCGGGUUGCGGACAGUGUCUGGUGGGUAGUUUGACUGGGGCGGUCUCCUCCUAAAGAGUAACGGAGGAGCACGAAGGUUGGCUAAUCCUGGUCGGACAUCAGGAGGUUAGUGCAAUGGCAUAAGCCAGCUUGACUGCGAGCGUGACGGCGCGAGCAGGUGCGAAAGCAGGUCAUAGUGAUCCGGUGGUUCUGAAUGGAAGGGCCAUCGCUCAACGGAUAAAAGGUACUCCGGGGAUAACAGGCUGAUACCGCCCAAGAGUUCAUAUCGACGGCGGUGUUUGGCACCUCGAUGUCGGCUCAUCACAUCCUGGGGCUGAAGUAGGUCCCAAGGGUAUGGCUGUUCGCCAUUUAAAGUGGUACGCGAGCUGGGUUUAGAACGUCGUGAGACAGUUCGGUCCCUAUCUGCCGUGGGCGCUGGAGAACUGAGGGGGGCUGCUCCUAGUACGAGAGGACCGGAGUGGACGCAUCACUGGUGUUCGGGUUGUCAUGCCAAUGGCACUGCCCGGUAGCUAAAUGCGGAAGAGAUAAGUGCUGAAAGCAUCUAAGCACGAAACUUGCCCCGAG
This 2143-nucleotide ribosomal RNA is filed under the name Salmonella enterica subsp. enterica serovar Enteritidis. RNAcentral describes it as "partial 23S ribosomal RNA". It matches the Rfam family "Bacterial large subunit ribosomal RNA", at positions 679 to 2803 of the family's 2925-position model. Lineage: Bacteria; Pseudomonadati; Pseudomonadota; Gammaproteobacteria; Enterobacterales; Enterobacteriaceae. The record is from RNAcentral.